CUAAUAUGUUUAUUACUGGUGAAAAAUAAUUGAAUUCUGGAUGCUUUAUUAAGCUAGAGCUUUUAUAUUUUUGUGCUAAGGGAAAAAUGCAGGAAAGGAAACCUGCCGAUACUUCCAAGGUUUUUCUUUUAAUUAAGAAGAAAAAAAAGGUUGCUAUUUGCUGACACUAGAAAGGUUAGAAAGAAUGAAGUUUGACCGUGGGGACAUCAGAAGCUUUGAUCGGACACAUGAAAUGCUGUGUGAGAUACCGUUUGGACAUGCAAAUGUGGAUAAAACACUUAAAUGAAAUGUACUUCCAGAAAAUUUCAUUUCUUCCAUCUGUACAAGUUUCUCGGAUGACAGUUCCUCUCCAUAGGAUUCUGGCAAGUCUGUGAAUAUGAGUUACUGUAAAUAUAAUCAUAAGAAGGAGAGGAUAGUAAAGGAAUGGAAACAAAUGGAAAAGACAGGCCAGGACAGAACAAGAAAGGAAGGGUAAGGUAAGAUCAUUUCUUU
Molecule: long non-coding RNA, 492 nt
Filed under: Fukomys damarensis (Damara mole-rat)
Lineage: Eukaryota; Metazoa; Chordata; Mammalia; Rodentia; Bathyergidae
Description: lncRNA (ENSFDAG00000030811.1)
Source: RNAcentral